RNAcentral lists this long non-coding RNA (211 nucleotides) under Helianthus annuus (common sunflower). RNAcentral's name for it is "hypothetical non coding rna". Lineage: Eukaryota; Viridiplantae; Streptophyta; Magnoliopsida; Asterales; Asteraceae. The record is from RNAcentral.
GGUCAUGGUUUAAGGAAUGUGUCACGUUUCUUCAGAGAUUCCAGUCGGAAUCCAAGCCGAGAUAAUGGAUGCUCUAGGGUUUAUGAAGGUUUGAUGAACUCUGCUGCGUGUACCAGCGAAACACAAAGAUCCUCUUUAAAUGGCUUCCGGUAAGACGAUUAGGGUUCCGGCGUGCUGGACUGCCAUCUCUGUCAAAAAGGAUAUGUGUUAG